UAGUUGGUGGAGUGAUUUGUCUGCUUAAUUGCGAUAACGAACGAGACCUUAACCUACUAAAUAGCUACGUGAACCCUAGGUUCAUGGGCAGCUUCUUAGAGGGACUAUAUAAGUCAAUUAUAUGGAAGUUUGAGGCAAUAACAGG
RNAcentral lists this ribosomal RNA (145 nucleotides) under Breviatea sp. RNAcentral's name for it is "partial small subunit ribosomal RNA". It matches the Rfam family "Eukaryotic small subunit ribosomal RNA", at positions 1295 to 1460 of the family's 1831-position model. The record is from RNAcentral. Lineage: Eukaryota; Breviatea.